AACCAGCACCUCAAGUGGUCAGGAGGAUUAUUGGGCCUAAAGCAUCCGUAGCCUGUUCUAUAAGUUUGCGGUUAAAUCUAUACGCUCAACGUAUAGGCUGCCGUAAAUACUGUAGAACUAGGGAGUGGGAGAGGUAGACGGUACUCGAUAGGAAGGGGUAAAAUCCCUUGAUCUAUUGAUGACCACCUGUGGCGAAGGCUCCACACUAGAACGGAUCCGACGGUCAGGGACGAAGCCUAGGGGCACGAACCGG
Molecule: ribosomal RNA, 253 nt
Filed under: uncultured archaeon
Lineage: Archaea
Description: partial 16S ribosomal RNA
Rfam family: Archaeal small subunit ribosomal RNA
Source: RNAcentral